RNAcentral lists this long non-coding RNA (269 nucleotides) under Brassica rapa (field mustard). RNAcentral describes it as "long non-coding RNA (BRAP_LNC006036)". The record is from RNAcentral. Lineage: Eukaryota; Viridiplantae; Streptophyta; Magnoliopsida; Brassicales; Brassicaceae.
AAGUAUUAAAAGAUAGAAAGACGAAAGAGAAACAAAAAGUAGCGUUAAUUGUAUUUUUCUUCUUAAUUCUAGAAUAACACUUAUACUGUUUUUUCCCACUUUAUCAAUAGUACACAGAGUAAAAGUAAAAUAAUAAUAGUCAACCUGAUUGGUAACAUUUCAGUUGAAUUUAAAAUUGUUUUACACCAAAUAUUUACUCAAAAAACUAUACAGUCACACCUUUAAUUGAGUAUUUUUGUUUACUCCAUAUACCACUAACUUUAGUGAUG